This is a long non-coding RNA of Anguilla rostrata (American eel), 347 nucleotides long. RefSeq lists it as uncharacterized. The transcript has 3 exons. Lineage: Eukaryota; Metazoa; Chordata; Actinopteri; Anguilliformes; Anguillidae. The record is from RefSeq and is a predicted model, not a curated record.
GUGUGUGAUUCUCACCGAUGGGGUUGGUGGAGGUCUCCUUGCCCUGCUGGUGUUGGCGGUAGUGUGUGUGUGUGUGUGUGUGUGAUUCUCACCGAUGGGGUUGGUGGAGGUCUCCUUGCCCUGCUGGUGUUGGCGGUAGUGUGUGUGUGUGUGUGUGAUUCUCACCGAUCGGGUUGGUGGAGGUCUCCUUGCCCUGCUGGUGUUGGCGGUAGUGUGUGUGUGUGUGUGUGUGUGAUUCUCACCGAUCGGGUUGGUGGAGGUCUCCUUGCCCUGCUGGUGUUGGCGGUAGUGUGUGUGUGUGUGUGUGUGGUGAUUCUCACCGAUGGGGUUGGUGGAGGUCUCCUUGC